This 426-nucleotide ribosomal RNA is filed under the name uncultured bacterium. RNAcentral describes it as "bacterial SSU rRNA". It matches the Rfam family "Bacterial small subunit ribosomal RNA", at positions 506 to 929 of the family's 1533-position model. The record is from RNAcentral.
UGCCAGCAGCCGCGGUAAUACGUAGGGUGCGAGCGUUGUCCGGAAUUAUUGGGCGUAAAGGGCUCGUAGGCGGUUUGUCGCGUCGGGAGUGAAAACAUCUAGCUUAACUGGGUGCUUGCUUUCGAUACGGGCAGACUUGAGGUAUGCAGGGGAGAAUGGAAUUCCUGGUGUAGCGGUGAAAUGCGCAGAUAUCAGGAGGAACACCGGUGGCGAAGGCGGUUCUCUGGGCAUUACCUGACGCUGAGGAGCGAAAGUGUGGGGAGCGAACAGGAUUAGAUACCCUGGUAGUCCACACCGUAAACGUUGGGCGCUAGGUGUGGGACCUAUUCCAUGGGUUCCGUGCCGUAGCUAACGCAUUAAGCGCCCCGCCUGGGGAGUACGGCCGCAAGGCUAAAACUCAAAGGAAUUGACGGGGGCCCGCACAAG